RNAcentral lists this ribosomal RNA (524 nucleotides) under Salmonella enterica. Its description in RNAcentral is "bacterial SSU rRNA". It matches the Rfam family "Bacterial small subunit ribosomal RNA", at positions 1 to 514 of the family's 1533-position model. RNAcentral also lists the same sequence under 2 other names. Lineage: Bacteria; Pseudomonadati; Pseudomonadota; Gammaproteobacteria; Enterobacterales; Enterobacteriaceae. The record is from RNAcentral.
AAAUUGAAGAGUUUGAUCAUGGCUCAGAUUGAACGCUGGCGGCAGGCCUAACACAUGCAAGUCGAACGGUAACAGGAAGCAGCUUGCUGCUUCGCUGACGAGUGGCGGACGGGUGAGUAAUGUCUGGGAAACUGCCUGAUGGAGGGGGAUAACUACUGGAAACGGUGGCUAAUACCGCAUAACGUCGCAAGACCAAAGAGGGGGACCUUCGGGCCUCUUGCCAUCAGAUGUGCCCAGAUGGGAUUAGCUGGUUGGUGAGGUAACGGCUCACCAAGGCGACGAUCCCUAGCUGGUCUGAGAGGAUGACCAGCCACACUGGAACUGAGACACGGUCCAGACUCCUACGGGAGGCAGCAGUGGGGAAUAUUGCACAAUGGGCGCAAGCCUGAUGCAGCCAUGCCGCGUGUAUGAAGAAGGCCUUCGGGUUGUAAAGUACUUUCAGCGGGGAGGAAGGUGUUGUGGUUAAUAACUGCAGCAAUUGACGUUACCCGCAGAAGAAGCACCGGCUAACUCCGUGCCAGCAG